UUUUUUUCUUUAUUUUACAGCUUAACCCUCCCAAUGAGGGUCCUAUAAAAACCAUCCGAUGACGAAGAUCUUAACUAGAGGAUAGAAAAGUGAUGAUGCAUUUGAUGGUUGCAUCUUGUACAUGUUUCUGCAAAAGAAUCGAAAGAAGGAGAGAAAGAGAGAAACCAUGAGAUUAAAGGAAAGGAACGAUUUUAGUGUCGGGCACUGAGAAUAGUUUGGGGUGACCUGGAACCGUCGGGCACUCAGCGGCAAGGCGGGGGACUAAGGAAACCCUUGAAAUCAAUAGCCGGCCGCUACUGCCGCCGCCACCCUGAUCAGGCUCCGUUCUGCGCUGCACAUUCGUCCCCUCGCAUCAUCCACCUCCCUCUUUUUACAGCUUUUCUCUCUCUCUCUCUCUCUCUCUCUCCUUCCUCUGAUUUUGAUUUAUCUGCACGUCGUAGCCGAAGAAAUCAGGAGCCUCACUUCAGUUUGCGCUCGAACGUUUCGCUAGUACGGACACACGUCAUUCGUUGACUUUUUUAGCGGUGUUCCAUGUGACGGUGAAGAAGUAGGAGACUAGGGUGGGACGAUCAUGAAUCAGCCAAAAAUAAAUCAAACUUCUCUUUC
Long non-coding RNA from Vespula vulgaris, 606 nucleotides. RefSeq lists it as uncharacterized. The record is from RefSeq and is a predicted model, not a curated record. The transcript has 2 exons. Lineage: Eukaryota; Metazoa; Arthropoda; Insecta; Hymenoptera; Vespidae.